GCAUUUGCAUCCCGCUCCGCCGGCCCUUAUAUUGAAGCUGCCGGCAACGGCUAUGGCGAUAAACGGCCAUCAUAAUAAACCCAUCGGACCCGGGGGCAGUACCCGGCGCCUCCACCAAUUCCCCUGUCGCGGCAGGGGCCUGCGGGGGCGAAAUAGGAUCGACGAGGGCGUAAAGGGUGUUGCUUUCGCUCGGUAUGGUACCCGCCGACAUCGGGCCAUCUUUAUAGUUGCCAACGACAACUAUGCUAAGGUUGCUCUCGCUGCGUAAUGCGGCGCGAUCGCCUGAAAUAAAGCCCUCCUGCUGUAGCAGGUAGGAGGCGGGGUUCGCAGGCACCUGGCAACAGAAGCCUGCACU
This 355-nucleotide transfer-messenger RNA is filed under the name Paradevosia tibetensis. RNAcentral describes it as "Youhaiella tibetensis Alphaproteobacteria transfer-messenger RNA". It matches the Rfam family "Alphaproteobacteria transfer-messenger RNA". Rfam says of the family: Bacterial tmRNA, also known as 10Sa RNA or SsrA, is named for its dual tRNA and mRNA-like properties. Lineage: Bacteria; Pseudomonadati; Pseudomonadota; Alphaproteobacteria; Hyphomicrobiales; Devosiaceae. The record is from Rfam by way of RNAcentral.